Non-coding RNA from Labrus bergylta (ballan wrasse), 600 nucleotides. The record is from RefSeq and is a predicted model, not a curated record. Lineage: Eukaryota; Metazoa; Chordata; Actinopteri; Labriformes; Labridae.
UUCACAUAGCAGACACUUUUAUCCAAAGCGACUUUUAUCAUUGUUAUAAUUUAUUCAUUUUUUAAAAUAAUGUUUCCGUAGGUUAUAAAUAGAUUGAUCCUUCUCGAAUGUGUUUUAUCUUCUUACAUCUGUUUUGUCAUUUCUCUCAUAGCUCGCUAGGUGUACAAAUACAGUAACCUGCACCUGAACAAUGUGUUAUUUCUUUAAAUCUCAUAAAACAGGCGGGUGGAGACUAAUAGAAGGCUGUUUGAAAAAGCAGCACACACUUUGAAGGAAACGUCCCUCCUCUGAACAUCUUCACCUCUCUGCUCCAGAGGACCUGACAAGAAUACUUUCUGCCUAUUCUGAAACACAAAGAUGGCUGUAGCUCUCACUCUCCUUCUUGUUGGCUGUCUGCUCCCAGGUGCCCUGUGUGGACAGUUUGAGAGCAUUAUACCAAAGACUAUAGAGGUUCUGAAGGGAUCCUGUGUGACAAUCCCCUGCUCCUUUGACGUAGAGGAUCAAUAUAAUGUCAACUUAAACAACACUUGUAAAGCAUUAUGGAGAGAAUCUUAUAGGGGACCUGUUGUGUUUGAUAGCAGUAAUCCACAACAGAAAGGA